RNAcentral lists this ribosomal RNA (292 nucleotides) under uncultured bacterium. RNAcentral's name for it is "partial 16S ribosomal RNA". It matches the Rfam family "Bacterial small subunit ribosomal RNA", at positions 505 to 796 of the family's 1533-position model. The record is from RNAcentral.
GUGUCAGCAGCCGCGGUAAUACGUAGGGUGCAAGCGUUAAUCGGAAUUACUGGGCGUAAAGCGUGCGCAGGCGGUUUCGUAAGUCUGUCGUGAAAUCCCCGGGCUUAACCUGGGAAUGGCGAUGGAGACUGCGAGGCUAGAGUUUGGCAGAGGGGGGUAGAAUUCCACGUGUAGCAGUGAAAUGCGUAGAGAUGUGGAGGAACACCGAUGGCGAAGGCAGCCCCCUGGGUCAAAACUGACGCUCAUGCACGAAAGCGUGGGGAGCAAACAGGAUUAGAUACCCCCGUAGUCC